This is a long non-coding RNA of Juglans microcarpa x Juglans regia, 184 nucleotides long. RefSeq lists it as uncharacterized. The record is from RefSeq and is a predicted model, not a curated record. NCBI's taxonomy places the organism in Eukaryota, Viridiplantae, Streptophyta, Magnoliopsida, Fagales, Juglandaceae. The transcript is spliced from 3 exons.
UAAUUCGAGGGAGUUGAGACGAGGUGAAGAUACAACUCAGCAUUCGGCGAUGCCACCAUGUGUGCCAACUAUGCCCUACCCAUAUUGCGCAAGUGAGUCAUCAACUAUGCCAUCCAGUGCUGUAGGUGAAAAUAAUUUAGGAGAAACAUAUUCACAUCCAUAUCCAUAUGUUUGGGAUAGCUAG